UCACUUAAAAUUUGUUGGUGAGAAAGGU
RNAcentral lists this non-coding RNA (28 nucleotides) under Bombyx mori (domestic silkworm). Lineage: Eukaryota; Metazoa; Arthropoda; Insecta; Lepidoptera; Bombycidae. The record is from RNAcentral.